AGGACCUUGCGCUUUUGGAGCGGCCGAUGCCUGAUUAGCUUGUUGGUAAGGUAAAAGCUUACCAAGGCUUCGAUCAGUAGCUGGUCUGAGAGGACGGCCAGCCACACUGGGACUGAGACACGGCCCAGACUCCUACGGGAGGCAGCAGUGGGGAAUUUUGGACAAUGGGGGCAACCCUGAUCCAGCCAUGCCGCGUGAGUGAAGAAGGCCUUCGGGUUGUAAAGCUCUUUCAGCCGGAACGAAACGGUUACGGUUAAUACCCGUGAUUACUGACGGUACCGGAAGAAGAAGCACCGGCUAACUACGUGCCAGCAGCCGCGGUAAUACGUAGGGUGCGAGCGUUAAUCGGAAUUACUGGGCGUAAAGCGUGCGCAGGUGGUUUUGUAAGUCAGAUGUGAAAGCCCCGGGCUCAACCUGGGAACU
This 423-nucleotide ribosomal RNA is filed under the name uncultured bacterium. RNAcentral describes it as "bacterial SSU rRNA". It matches the Rfam family "Bacterial small subunit ribosomal RNA", at positions 207 to 622 of the family's 1533-position model. The record is from RNAcentral.